UACGUAGGGUGCGAGCGUUAAUCGGAAUUACUGGGCGUAAAGUGUGCGCAGGCGGCCGAGCAAGUCGAGUGUGAAAGCCCCGAGCUUAACUUGGGAACUGCGCUCGAAACUACUUGGCUAGAGUGUGGCAGAGGGAGGUGGAAUUCCACGUGUAGCGGUGAAAUGCGUAGAGAUGUGGAGGAACACCGAUGGCGAAGGCAGCCUCCUGGGCCAACACUGACGCUCAUGCACGAGAGCGUGGGGAGCGAACAGG
RNAcentral lists this ribosomal RNA (253 nucleotides) under uncultured bacterium. RNAcentral's name for it is "partial 16S ribosomal RNA". It matches the Rfam family "Bacterial small subunit ribosomal RNA", at positions 524 to 776 of the family's 1533-position model. The record is from RNAcentral.